AUCGUUACCGAGAAUGGUGAUAGGUAUUGAAAUGUACUGAUACUGCGGCAUUUUCCAUUAUGAAAGUUAAGUCAAAAAGAUUUUGUUUCGUUACGAGACUGUAUGGUUGCUGAAUGUAAAAUGUUUACAUGUUUAUUUACAGGAAAUCUAGCCUGUAAUUUCCUAUCUGUCAAAUCACCUUAUCAGUUAUCACAUGGCCUGAAACUGAUGUUGCUUGCUACUUGUACCGGUUGUAUGUUAAUGUAUCAACCAGUGAAGAAACACUUGACAGCAAAAGUGUGUAAAAUUGUGUCCACCAGAUGGUGGAGUGUGUGUUCGUGAGUGACGAAGCCGCCAUUUGCUGUUGAGACAGUGUACGGGAAUGUGUUGCUGCUUAAUGACGGUGUUCUUCGCUUUUACAUUAAAAAAAAAAUGUUUCCCCGCCAUUCGACCAAGCUGAAUCGAAAGUGAACAAUUCAGCCAAUUCUACAGCAAUUUGAGCCUUUUUCCACGUGAUCGCUGUCGUGUGAUGAAGAUGCGUCUCUGAGAGGAUCUCUACUAUACUGCAAGACAAAAAUGUGAUGAAACCAGGAAAUCUGAAAUGCCAGUUGGCGGAAGUUGUGAAGAAUUUAGCUGUUGCAAUCAGUUUAUGACUGAGGCAUCCCAUGCAGAAACCAGAAAUGAUAAGCAUGGCGGAGAUCUUGCCUUUCUCAACGUGCGGUGCCGUGUCAACAAGAUGUCUCUUUGAUGAGGUCUCUACUAUGUUGGAGAACAAAAAUGUGAAGAAAACAGGAAAUCUGAAAUGGUUUCCAUGGUCAGUUUGAUGUUUGAGCUGUUUAUGGUGUUGCUGUUUGGUGUGAAGUGGGUUUACAGUCAUUUUCCACCCGAGAGAUGCGCUGAAAUGGAGCUUCGUCAGACUUGCAGUUCAACAUCAUACUCAAUGUGUUAUUUCCCUAUGUUUGUGUCCGUGAGUGUUGAGGCUGUUGGGCUAAACAGUUAACCUCUUUUUUUUUGUGUUGGUGAGUGUUACGGAAGCUGCAUCAUUGUUUUGUUGAAUUGUCAUUGUGUCUGCAGUUUACCGUUUAUAUGUUAGGAAGAGAAAAAACAGAAUCUUGGGGAAUUUAUAUCAAACAAAUAAUAAACAAGGUUUCGGGAUUGGGAAAGGAAUGUGGAGGUUGUCAGGUGGGAGGGUGAUGACUUGAAUUUUCAUAUCUCAAUAUAUAAUGAGGUAUGUUAAUAUGUACUGACGCGAUACAUGUGGAUAAAAACUUAA
Molecule: long non-coding RNA, 1252 nt
Filed under: Daphnia pulex (common water flea)
Lineage: Eukaryota; Metazoa; Arthropoda; Branchiopoda; Diplostraca; Daphniidae
Description: uncharacterized LOC124195594, transcript variant X2
Source: RNAcentral